RNAcentral lists this long non-coding RNA (5347 nucleotides) under Sus scrofa (pig). RNAcentral describes it as "lncRNA (ENSSSCG00065029944.1)". Lineage: Eukaryota; Metazoa; Chordata; Mammalia; Artiodactyla; Suidae. The record is from RNAcentral.
AGUCUGCCCCCCUUUCCCGUGCCUUGCCUUAGGCAUCUCUUCCCUCUGGCUAUGCCUGAAUUAUAGCCUUUUAUAAUAAACUAGUGAAAAAAAAAAAAAGAAAUGAAGAGAGUAUUGAAAAGAAAAAAAAAAUCCACUGUGAAUGGAACGUUGAAUAUAAAAAAAAUAAAAAGUAAAAAAUAAACUAGUGGUCUAGCAAGCAAAAUGUUUCUCUGAGUUCUGUGAGCUACUUUGGCAAGUUAAUUAAAACCCAAGGAGGGGGUGGCGGGAACCUUUGGUUUGUAGCCAGGCCGUCAGAAGUAUAGGCAACAACCUGAGCUUGUGAUGGACGUCUCAAGUGGGGAGCAGUCUGGUGGGACUGAGCACUCUUGUGGGAGGCGAUGCUGUCUCCAGGUAGAGAGUGUCAUCAGUGCGUUGAAUUGGGGGACACCCAGCUGGUGCUGAGAGUUGCUUGGUUGGUGUGGGAAACCCCGCACACAUUGGAAUUGGAGUCAGAUUUUUAGGCACAUGGAGGUUCCCAGGCUCAGAGUUGAAUUGUAGUUGCAGCUGCUGGCGUAUGCCACAGCCAGAGCAAUGCCAGAUCCCAGCCAUGUCUGACCUACACCACAGCUCAUGGCAACGCCAGAUCCUUAACCCACUGAGUGAGGCCAGGGAUUGAACCUGCAUUCGCAUGGACACUAGUCAGCCAUUCAUUACUGCUCAGCCACAACAGGAACUCUGAGAAUCAAUUUUUUAAAAGCUAUGAAAACAUCUAUCCCUCUGCCUAUUACGUUGGAGGCUCUCACUAAAUUAAGAACAAUAAUUUAACAAAUAUUUACAGAGGCCCUUGCAUGUGAAAAGGGGUAUGUUGGGUGUUGUGAGGGAUGCAGAAUUGAAAAUAGACAUGAUGCAAACCUCUGGGGAGUCAGUUCCAGUGAGAAGAACAGACACCCAAGCAGCUAUAGUGUAGGACUUUUUCUCUACGAUAACAUUUAUGCCUAAGUGGUUUCUCCACUGUCUGCAAAUAACCACGUUCUCCUUUUCUUGGUAUUUCACAUUGUUUGAAAAUGUGUUCAGGGGAUAUGGUUUAUUAAAAAAAUCCCCAAACAGCACAUGGACCAAAAUUAGGUUUUAUUGGUGUGUCCAAGACAUGUUUGCAUUUAUAGGAAACAGUCUCUGUGGAAGCUCGGCCACGUGAAUUGUUUUAUGCAGCUAAAGAACUCGAAAAGCAGACAGGAAGUCAGAGCCAGGAUGGGGAGGAGAAUGGAAAAAGUCUUAAUUUCGGAAAUGACCAGGAGUUUUCAUUCUGAGAGUAGAACCCUGCCCUGGGCAGAUGGCUUUUGCUUACCUCUGAAAUAUCCUUGAGGUUUGGAGGGCUGGGAUCCGAGUGGAGAGGGCAGGAGGAAGGAGCUGGGGUUGGCAGACAGGGUCUUUGCAACCCAGGAUCUGGUGACUGGUUGGGCUCAAGUGGAUUCUCUGAAUCCAUACUCCCCAGGCAGCAGGCAGUUGGGUAGUCUGACAGCACAGAGAGUGCCGUACAAAGAGCCCUGUCUUGGGAGCCGGGGCCCCAGUUCUGGUGCUAACUCUGACCCAAAAGAACCUUUGCUGUGUGCCCAAGCACGAGUUACUUUCCUUUGCUGGGGGUUGACCCAGGAGAUUCUAAAGUCCCUUCCAGGUCAAAGAGGCUGAACUUCAGGUCUAAUCCAGCCCCUAAGUUGAAGGAGGAGCUUCAAAUCAGAACCAACCAAGACAGAUGGAAAGGCCUCUGACAACAUGCAUGGACCUUUGGAACGGAGGCUGUUCAGAAAGUCCGAAUGGAGGUCAGCGGGUGAGUCCUGCAGGUCUGGGAAGCCUCCCUACUUCUACCCUGACUGUAGUGAGUUCUGACCCGGCCUGGCCGCAAGGACUCCAAGGUCUUGGAUGCUGACCGCUGGGUGAGCUGUUGAGGGGCCUCCCCCCUUUCCUCCUAGAGCAAGAGGUGUCAAAGGUGUUUCUUCGGUGCACUUGAGCUCUAAGGAGAAGCUGUUUCCAUAGGAAUAAAUAUUCCUAGCAGUCUGGGGAGGUGGAGGGGAGAGAAAGUGGUCUUUUUCCCAAGCAAUGGAAAUAGCAGAAACUCAGAGUAAGGAUCUCUUUGCUGCAGGUAACUCCUGGAAGCUGGGAUGAUGAAAGUGGCACUUUCCGCGCUCGUUGGGGCCUUUUUUCGAUGGUGACUGUCUCUCUUCAGGGAUAACUGGGCAAUGUGGUGGGGAGACACAAUCCUUGUCACGUCUUCCAAAAGACCCAAGGACAUGAUACAGGGAAGGAAGCUGCAGAUGUGUCUGCCCGUGUCUGAACCACCAGGAAGUGACCUCUCUCUCUUGCUGUGAAGAAGGGAUUCCCGACUUCAAGCCUUCAAACUGGGUUCACUGCAGCCGCGCUGUCCACUGCGAAGUGGUUUGGCUUCCCACCGGGAGAGGGCCUCUGAGAGGCUGGAGGUUCCUGUCUCCCCUGAGUAGAGUAGCAGGAAGGGGGGGCAGGGGGGCGCACAAGUGAGGCUGUGGACUGGCAGGUGUGAGGGAUGCAAGACCACUGCCAGGCUGGGCCCCUGCCAGAGAAGCCUCGGCAUCAACUGUGAAACGUGAUUACAUUCGGAUCCUGUUUCACACCCCCCCGCCCCCCCCCCGAAAGAAAACAGUGCAGACAGCGUCCUUCCGGUCACCGUCCUUUUCUCAUGACCUCAUCCUCCUGUUUGCACCUUCCUCUGUCUUCUUUUAACUCCAUCCACUCCCAUCUCCAGGACCAUUGGAUCUAAGCUCGGGCCCUCACCACCCAUUGCCCAAACGUAGGGGCAUAAAACAACCGUUACGUUCUGCUCGUGGAUGCUGUGGGCCAGGGGUUCACAUGGGUGGGAAUGGCUUAGCUCUGCUCCGCAGGGUCCGAAGCCUCAGCUGGGAGGACUCAGAGGCUGGGGGCUGGGAUCCUCGGGGGCUCAUCCAGUCACAAGGCCGACCUGUGAUCCUGGCGGGGCGCCGGGACCUCCGUGUGGCUGCCCGCAGAACACACGCACGUGGCCGCUCCACAUCCUUGAGCCUCCUCACACCACGGCAGCCUCAGGCCCGUCUCACACAGUGGCUCAGGGUUCAAGGCUCAGAGGGCAAGGGGUCCAGCAAGUGUGGUGGCAGCUGCAAAGCCUCUUUCCACCUGCCUUUGGAUGCCACAGAGCACCCCUUCUGCCACAUUCAUGUGCUGCAUACAGGUCAGAAGCCCGUGCAGCUUCAGGGGGAGGGAUGUCAACUCACCUCGCCUCGAGAAGACGCCAAGCAUUUUCAGGGGUGUUUUAAAACCUCCGCAGAAGCUCCUGUCGCCAAAUCCAGACCAGGCCCCGCCGACACUCUCCAUCGCUUUCCCUGAAGAAGCUCUGUCCUCCUCACUGCCGGGACCCUGGGAUACUCGGGGGGUUACCGUAGGGGAGGUGCUCAAGUGGUUCCUGGCUGUCUGGCCAUGGGCAGGCUUAAGAGUGGCAGGGCCUCCUUCCCUUUGCUUUCCCCCAGGCCUGGACCCCUCCCUCCCCUCCCCCUGCCACCUCGCCCUCACACCCAGGUUCCGCUUGGACCACCAUUUCGUGGGUCGCUGAGAGUGGUUCGGCACCUUCUUGUGUGUCCGUGAUGAGUGAGCUGCGCGAUCGUGAUUCAUGCCCGGUUCAGCACGACUCCCUUUCCCUGGCAGGACCUGCACGCCAAGCCCUUGCCUCAGCGACGCUCUGACGGGAACCAUUUCUCCCUCAUGGGGUGGCUUGGGGGAGAGGCUCUCACGCACGUUCUGGAAGCCUUGGCCUGUGGUGCCUCGCGCAGAGCCUGGCACUGGCACUUGCUCAAUUGAUGACUGUUGAGUCAGUUAACCCUGACUCGCGUGGGCACUGGCUGACUCACAGGGCUUGAUUCAGCCUUGAUUCACCAGAGGAUCUGGGAGGAUUUGACGGGUGGCGAGCCCUACAUGUUCCCAGAGGGAGGAGUGUGCGGGGUUCAUGUGAUGGUGUGUUUUGGGGGGACUGGAGGCACGUGGGGAUGGUCCUGGGGCCAGGCCACAGCACCUGCUGCCAGGCCAUUUCCCUGCCCUCCACUAAGCUGCCCUGCUUCCUUAGCUCCUCUCUGGGGAACUUCUGGACCCCUCAAGCAAAUCCUCCAAGUGUCUGGCCACUUGUCAAGUUUCCAGGAGGCUCCAAUCACUGCUGUUUCCUCUUUUCUUCCCCCAAAGUUUGCAGAUAAAUCCUCAGAAGCUCCCUGGGCAAAAGCCUGACAUCAGCCCUUGAAGGACUGGAGUCAAAGGUAGGAGGUCUGGGCUUAUAGGGAGAAAUAAUAGGAGUAACUAAUGUGCUAAUCAUUCAAUCCAGCUCGAGAUGCUGGACUCCCAGGAAACUCUCAGGAAUGAUCUGCUCUUUCUCAUUUAAGGCAAAGCAAAAAGCAAAGAUUUCUAGGCUUCCUUGCAGGAAAAGGAGCUACAGGUUGGGACCACACAUCCCUGGGGAAAGGGGCUGCAAACUGACUGGGGGAGUCUGCAGCACUCUGAAAUGAACUGGCUGCUUUGCCUUUCCUUUCCGUCAUCCCUGUGCAGCCUCUGUGCAUGCACUCGCUGAGCCUCGGUGUCAGCACUAGGGUGUCGGCCGCUGCGUAUGUUGCCUCCUCAUCGGAACAACAUCUCAGUGGGUGAGAGAUUGUUAGCUCCAAUCUACCAAUGAGAAAUUGGAGGCCCAGAGGAGUAAAUUGCCCAGAAUGCACUGCAGAUAAGUGGAUGAACCAGAUCAUGUGUUCAUUCAAUGAACAUCCUAGACUAAUAUGGAUUAAUAUGGAAAGAAAAAAGAUAAGAUGAAUUGGUUCUAGUUGACAAGAAAUCCAAAAUCUAGGAGAGGAAGAUGGCAGUUAUACAGUAUGGUAGAUGCAAUGACAGAGCUAUACGUAGAGCACUAGGCUAAGCACCAUGAGGACAUCUAUGCGGACUGGGAAGCUCCGGGAAGCCUUCCUGGAGGAGGUGAUAUUUGAGCUGAGUGUUAAGAAUAAGCAGGAUUUUGCUCAGUGAAUGAAUAAAGGCUGUGGGGUGGGGCAAGGCACUUCAGAAAGAGUAGGCAGCACAAUCAGCAUUAAAAAACAGCAAGAUGGGAGUUCCUGUUGUGGCGCAGCGGAAGAGAAUCCUACUAGAAACCAUGAGGUUGUGGGUUCGAUCCCUGUCCUUGCUCAGUGGGUUAAGGAUAUGGUGUUGCUGUGAGCUGUGGUGUAGGCCACAGAUGUGGCUCAGAUCCCGUGCUGCUGUGGAUGUGGUGUAGGCUGGUGGCUACAGCUCCGAUUUGACCCCUAGCCUGGGAACCUCCCUAUGUUGCAGGUGUGGCCCUAAAAAG